GACCGGAUAGAAUGAAGUAUACAAUUUACUCUCAAGAACCAGUAGAAGAAUAAUGUAGUAAUUCCUUCUGUCCUCAUAGCUCUGGAUCAUCCUAGGAUAUGGUUCAACUGUCAAAUCCUAAUAGGCGAUUAACUAUGUGUUCACGUCAAAUAUGAUCGACCACUGAAUGACCUAUGAAACUCAUUUCUUCUUUCAUUCACUUUCCCUGGCCAAGGUCUUAGUUUGGUCAUUUAUAAUUCAUGACAACAUGGAGCUUAAACUCAUUACCAAGAGUUGACAGAUUCCGUCUUGAUCAAUCACUAAUUCUACAAGUAUUCAAUCGUAACCAAUAUCCUUUCAAC
This 341-nucleotide long non-coding RNA is filed under the name Nicotiana benthamiana. RNAcentral describes it as "long non-coding RNA (NBEN_LNC024911)". The record is from RNAcentral. Lineage: Eukaryota; Viridiplantae; Streptophyta; Magnoliopsida; Solanales; Solanaceae.